AUUUUGUUGCUUGUGAACUUUUCCUUCAAAUUUUUUCCAUUUUAUUUAGCGAUAAAUAUUUUUUAUGUAAAUUCAAUGUAUUAAUAUUUAUUUCAUUUAUCAUCGACAGAACUCCUUCAAGAUGCCAAUAUUAAAAUUAAUCAGAAUACAAAUUCUUAAAAUUUAGAAGUCUUGUCUAAAUAUAGGUCCACAGAUGACCACCUAACUUAUCCACUAUCUAGAAGUGUAUAAUUUUACUAAAUAAUUUAAAAUUCAAAUAUUUGAAAGGCAAAUUUCUUUAGAAUAUUUGAAUUUUAUCGACAAAGCUAGCUUUAGGUUAGUUGGGGAUUAGAUGGAAAACACACAAACUCCCCUAUUUUUUAACUUCCCAUCUUAAUAAUCGAUCUCUAAUGUUGAAAAUAUCAUAAAAAUGUUAAAAAUAGGAGUUCUUUAAUUACAAGAAAUCGGGAAUUGAAUUCGUUUAUAUAGGAUCUAUACAAUUUUUUUUUUUAUAAAUCAGGUGUACACACACUCAUGGCUCACCUACAAAAUAUCUUGUUCUCUCUCUCUGCAUUUCAAACAAUGUCUUCCUUUCUCUACAUUCAAACAUAUACCUCUCUCUCUUCUACACCUACUGUUGAAUAACCGUCCCUAGUCGCAUCCAUCGUUGGCCGCCAACACCCCACCUCUCCUGAAUGCGACUCCACUUCUCUCUUCUCCGUCGUCGCGCAGCAUCUAGUACCUUCCACUUCUUUCUCCAUUGUCGAUCAUACAGCAUCCCUAUGUCUCUCUUAACCAACGACAGCAUCCCGUCACCUCCACUUCUCUCUCCAUCGUCAAACCGUGACUGCACUUCUCUUUCCAUCGCUAGACUGCGACUCCAUCUCCGUAUUAGAACUAAAAUGAAAUGAAAACCAUUGACUGUUAUUCAUCCAAGUCACUGAAAACGAGUAUACAUAUACAGUAUAAAUAGGCGCCAAAAGAAGAGAAAAAAACAGCUGUCAUAACUAACUGCGAGCUGGUAAAACUAACUACCUAACUUGCUAACUAACUUCUAUACAAAAUGUGUUUUGGUUCUAAUAAUCAGCCACUAUGAUUCCACCUUUUUCUUCGUCGCCAGACUGUUACUCCACUUCUCUCUUCAUCGCCAAUCACGCAAAACCCCACCGCCUCCCAAAUUUUCCUCUCCUAACCGUUCCCUAAAUCAAAUUAUUUCGAUAAAAAUGUGUGAGUACGUUUGGCCAUGCUUAAAAGUCGCUAAAGAAGAUGCUUUUAGGUAAGUAUGUAGAUGUGCUUAAAGGUAGCUAAAAAAAGCUACUUUUCAGGUGAAACAGUUCUCUUCUCCUUGUUCUUAUAUUCCUUCUGUGAGAGAUGGAUAAAGAAGUUUUUUCUCUGCAAUUCCAAAGAAGAGAUAUUAUCAAAUUUUUCUUAAGUUUCUUGAUGUAACUUGAUUCAAAUGAGGAUCCUAAGAUUGCAGAAAUACCACAUUGUGAGAAUAUGUAAAAUAGAUUAGAAUUCAAUCUAAGAUAGAUUUGGAAAAAUUCAUCUAUUUCUUGCCAUUUUUAAUGUCCUAGUUGCUUGCUUUCCAUGUCGUCCUUAGUGUGAUCUCCACAUCUCGUAAUUGAGCGCUGUACUUUUCGUAAGUGGAUUUUGCUCAUCAAGUUCUUAUUCAAUCUGCAGCUUAGAACCCCAAAAUAUUCAUCUCGAUCAGUUGGUAUCCUUUUAUUUAUGAGAGGCCAUAAUUGAAGAAAAGAAAUGAAACCUGUUUUUCAAAUUAUUAGCUAAUGAUUUCAUGUUUCUUCAGAAUCUAUCUAGAAGACGGAAGGAUUGCCUUCAGUUACAAGAACCAAUAAUCAAACUAGUUAAAAACCAGAUCUGCCACGUUUGUCUGCCCAAUUCCUCAUUUUAGGGGGAAAAAGACACUGCAUCAAGUGACGAUAAUAAUAGAAUAUAAGUAGAAAACUACAUCGGAUUCUAAUGUUCUUUCCUACGCUAUUUCGCGUAUAAAUAACUCACUACGAAUGUCCCUGAUCUCUUCUCCACUCGCAGCUCAUAGGGCUUGCAAUGUGUGCUUUUUGACUAAUUUUGUAACAGUGAUCCAUAAUUUAUGUCCUUGUGACGUAACAUUUCAAUAAAUAAUGUGUCAUAAAAAAUGUAUGAUUUGCAAUUAAUUUUGUUAUUGUAACUUAUAAUUUAUAUCUUUGUUAUUGUGAUCGUAUACGAUUUGUGACUACUGCGUGAUUUUAUAAAAAUAAACUGUGUUUGAUUAUGACCAUGACCUAAUUAAUUAAAUUAUAGAUCACAAACUUUUGUCAGGAAUCACAAAAUGUGACCAAUCUUUUAUUAGGGAUCAUAAAACUGAUCACCUAAUUUUUGAAAAAAAAAAAAAAAAAAUUCCACAAAUUUAAUGUUUUUUAAAAAUGCAACUUGAAAUAUUAGUAUUUAUAUAAUUUUCCCAGAAUUAUAUGAGGUAAUCAGGAUGUCGAGUAUUGUUGAAAAAGUAAAUGCAGAAACCGAAUUUUCUAUGCCGUUUGCUAACUGCUAGCCAAUUAGGAAUGUUGAAAUUAUCCAUGUUCUUGGAAAAUGGAUAUGUCCCACUGUUUCUAGAUGUACUCGUUUGCGCCUUGUAUCACAAUGGAAUCUACGAACUUCACACGCAGAGACUUGACGCUAUAUAACACUCACCAUCAUCACAGCCUUUUCCCAUAAUCUUAUGUGACUACUUCAGAUACACACAUCAAAAGAAAUAUCAAAUUGUAUCAAAGUUCGACUUCUACACUACAUUAGAAGAGCUAUGAACAAAUACGAUCAACACGAAGCUUCUGGUAAGCAUUACAUCAACUUUGUUUCCUUCGUCUUCUUAAGUAAAUUUCAAGAAAAAACUUGACUCUGCGAGGCUUGCUUUAGUUUCUAAUGGUUGUUCUACCCUCAUAAUUAAUUUGAACCGUCUUAACUGUUGCACAUCCAGCACCACCACCUUCAUAUGCUCCGGGAACACAAGGUAACCUUGAUGGCCCAUAUGUGAUGGCACCUCCACCAGUGGGUUAUCCUACAAAGGAUGGUGAUAAUAGAGGGGAUGCCCCUGUAGAGACGACAACCAGAGGCGAUGGCUUCUUGAAAGGAUGGUAAGAUUUCUAAUUCUUGACUCUGAUAAUCUAUAGGCAGUCUAUCUUGAAACCACGUUUCCCAAUUUUGCAACGAUUGUUCUUUCAGUCUAGCCGGUCUUUGCUGCUGCUGGUGCCUGGAUAUUUGCUUCUGAUGACGACAAAUGACUAUUCUUUCCUUAUUUGGGCUAUGUAAUACCUGCUGUGUUCUAUGUAGUGUUCAUUUCAUUAUUUUACACUAGUAAUAAAUUUAAAAUAAUUCAUAAUUUCCAAG
This 3357-nucleotide long non-coding RNA is filed under the name Olea europaea subsp. europaea. The record is from RNAcentral. Lineage: Eukaryota; Viridiplantae; Streptophyta; Magnoliopsida; Lamiales; Oleaceae.